Ochlerotatus camptorhynchus is the source of this 2606-nucleotide long non-coding RNA. RefSeq lists it as uncharacterized. Lineage: Eukaryota; Metazoa; Arthropoda; Insecta; Diptera; Culicidae. The transcript is spliced from 4 exons. The record is from RefSeq and is a predicted model, not a curated record.
CGAAGCACACAGUUGAUUUUCGCAAGCUCCCGUUUUCGAUGCUCAUGGAGGGAUUUCGAUUGCUUUGCUGCAGCCAGAGACAUGUGUGACUCGUUCGAGUGAGUAUGGAAGUGGUGUUAGAAAUUCGAUCGAGUGUGACUGCUGCUGCUGCUGGAGAAGAGCAGGAUUAGGUUUCUUCUUGUCGAUGAGUGGAAAAAUGCCGGUUGGUGAUGGCGCUCACGGGAUGUGCGCGAAUUUUGGCGAGGUUUGGGCGCGCGUCGGCCGAAUUUGGCGAGUACCGAGCUUCGUCGUCGGCGUCCUCGGAUGUGUGGUCAGAUUGUGCAAAGUGCCGAAUUCGUUCGUUCGGGGGCUCUGUGUGUAGUGUGGGUCUACCAGCGUCAGUGGCUGGUUCAUCACCGGCAGUCGCGCUCAGUCCGUGGAACAGUGUGGUGUUGACUCCUGCUCUCUUCCCAGAGACAUUUUCCUGACAGGCAUCAAGAGGUGAAGAGUGAUGAAGAAGAGUACUGAGGAACAAAAUUAAACCAAAUUAGGAGGCCAAGUCCAAAAGUGCUGGUGUGUAUGUUCAUAAACAGUUGCUCCGGACAAGUGUAGACAGGCCCGAUCUAAAUAGCCUUCAGUUCUUGUGUUGUGUUUAGUGUGCGUUUGCGUGCUUGUUAUGUUCAGUUCGGUUGGUUUGCGUUUUUUGGGUUGAGUUUUUUUUUUUUUUUUUGGGAGAAACAGACACGACCGGCUUGAUAUAUUAGAACGAGUCAACGUGUGGAGUGGCGGCAACUCAAGUGUGGCAGAAGGAAGGCACAAAUAAUAUAUGUAAUCUAAUACUGGCGAACCCGGAACUGCGGCCGCUUUUAGCGAAUUGACUUUUGCAAACGCUUGGAACGUCUGAAGGCCGAAUCGAAUCCGUGCGAGACUCAACCGUUUCACGCUGGCUGAUUAAAUUUAUUGAUCGAGUAAUCUCCGCUUCUAAUCCCAUUACCCACGAGGACGGGUGGGUAGAGCUAAUCCAGUACGCAGUGGCAUUGCAGGUUCCAUAUUUAGACUGAACGUUCGAGUAUAGCCAUUUCCUGUCGUUCCUGAUAAGCAAUGCAUACAGAGAAAUGAAGUGGUACAAAGUACGCGGAUUUUCCCCCCAGCAACAGCUGAUUUCACCGCAAACUUCAGAAGCAAUUAGACCGCCCUAAUGAGUCUUGAGGGAAAGCCACUAAGCAGCACGGUGAAUCAAAUUUUCAACUAGACCUUCAACCCAGAGAACACCACCAUUUUUUUUUUGCUGUUAAAAAACGAAGAGAACACACAGUAGAUGAGCUAAUAUUUGCAAAUGAUUAUCAACACCAACACACAACCGACGAUGAAAGCAAUCAUCUGAAUUUCGCAAACCUGCCACUGCCGGCCCGCCUGCCUGCUUGCCGAUUUAGAUUAGUUCGACGAAUGAGCAGAAGCCUGGAGGAGGUGGCCAAGAAGUAUGAGGAAUCCCACAACUACCAGUGGAGCGAAUCCGAAGCGAUAAGUGUGCGACUCUUAGCUCAUCUGUUUGGCAAAAGUCCUCUUGGUCUUCUUACCGUUGCUGCUUGCCUUGGCGAAUGUGAUCACACCAGCCGUAUUAUAACUUCCUAUCAAUUGCCUUACCCGGGAAUGGAACUCGAAAAAAUAGCGACCAACACACAUCCAGAGAAAAGUUACCAUCUUCAGAGCAAAAGUUUUCCGUUGUUUCAUUAUGUUUGCCAUAAGUUCGGUUAUGUCCUGCUGCCACGGAAAAAAGUGGAAAGUUUUGUGUUGUUUUUCAGUUUCCCAACAGCUGCCACAUAUUCUUGCGGCAGGAAAAGAAACUUCAAACUAGAAAACAUUGUUGAUUUUCAUUAUUCCGUUUCACACUCGUGACUUUUGAGUUUGAGGACUGCAGCGGCGAAAAAACCUCCGCACGAAAUAAUGGAGAAAAAUCGGAAAAGUUCUUUCGUUGAAAGUAGUAGUUUAGUUUAGUUUUUUUUUAUUCUGUUCCGUCCUAUUCUGUUCUGUUUAUUGUUUUUCGAGAAGAAAAUGAGCAAAGUUUCGCCCCCGCCGGUGGAAACGAAAGACAUAUCCUCAAAACCCAAGUGACGGUUAAGAAGAACACACAAUGAUUGAUCGUUAGUUUCGUAGCGGGGGUGGCAGGAUAUCGAUGAAAUCGAUUCGAGCGCACGCAUUUCGGUUCGGUUCGGUGGAUUUAGCCGUAAUUGGACAGCUGGUGGCUGGCGCUGACGACGAUGAUGACGAUGAUGAUGAUGUCAAACUCUGCGUGGUUCAGUGACUGCGGAACAAGCGACUACAAACCGAGAGUAGAAGGCGCCGAAUGGCGCGCGAUGAGAUUGUGAACCGGUUGUGAAAUGAGAAUCUACUGCCUAGAUCAAGCAAAGAUUAAUAGAUCGUGAUAAUGGACAGCUCAUGGCUUUUUGGUGGAUAAAUGGUAAGUUACAGUACGCUUCUUAGAAUGAAAUAAUCUACAACCGUAUGCAUCAUACGUAUAAAAAAGGUCAUUAAUCUUGUCACAUGCUGCAGUUAGCUCAUUUUAAGUCAUGGUGCACUAGCGCCAUUGUACAGAGUACAUCUUUUUUGGGCAGGGAGUCAACAAUUUA